This 955-nucleotide unclassified non-coding RNA is filed under the name Hevea brasiliensis (rubber tree). The record is from RNAcentral. Lineage: Eukaryota; Viridiplantae; Streptophyta; Magnoliopsida; Malpighiales; Euphorbiaceae.
GCUUUAAGAUUAAGCUUGUGUGAGUAAAUCCAGCAUCCAUAGUUGAAACUUCGAAAUCCAUAAGCUCUGCCCAGAAUGCUUUUGACAUGUUUUACGCGAAUCAACAUGACCGUAUAGCCCCUAACUCUACCAGAAUCUAGAUUUUGGUUUUGUUAGCACCUCAAGAAGCCUGAACAUCCAUCUAUCCAGCAUUCCUGUUUGAGCAACAACCAGAACAAAAUUUUAGCCCAACACGAAGGAAUAGCAAAACAUGGAAAAGGAAUGUACAGACAAUAACUCGGAAUGACCAAGGAAGUCCACUCGAUAAUUGUAGAAUAUACAAGAAUUAGUUGAUAAAACAAAAUAGGAAAAAAGCUCCUAAAAAUACCUAUAAUUUCGGGUUUCUACUAAUCUUUGACAACCUUUUGGUUUUGUGAGAUUUAAUUUAUUAUUAUACUCUAUAUGGAAAAUGCUGAAGCCUAAUUGCAAGACACAUAGGCACCUAUUUUUUGGUUCAUUAGGAUGCAAGAUCUGGGUAUAAAUAUGAAUCCAAUGGCAUUAGCAACAAAAUGGUACCAAAGUGAUGCAAAAGAUUGUUCUAUGCCUCAUGUAUCAAAAUUUUAACAAGAUAUUUUUCUAAACUUUUGGCAUACAUAAUUAGCAAAAGAAACUAAUUUUAUCCCCAAAUCUGGACUUAAAAACCAAAAAAUUAUGGCCAAUGAGGAUAACAAUAUAUUUAGACAAUGUUGGAUGGUAGCAAAGGUAUUAGCAUUGAAACUAGACAACAGCGUUAUAAAGUUUUCAAAAUUUUUAACACCUGGCAGAUUUUCUCAGUAGAACCAGUUCUUAUCUCUCUGGAUUUAUCACAUGUAGCAUUGGCAACAUAAUGGAGUCCCAAUUUUCCAAAUUUAUGGUGAAUUUUAUAACCAUGGUAUUGGAAAAAAAAUACCCAAAAACAAAAAGAAAACAGAACAAA